Molecule: ribosomal RNA, 497 nt
Filed under: uncultured bacterium
Lineage: Bacteria
Description: partial 16S ribosomal RNA
Rfam family: Bacterial small subunit ribosomal RNA
Source: RNAcentral
GAUGAACGCUGGCGGCGUGCCUAAUACAUGCAAGUCGAGCGGCAAGAUAGGAAGCUCUUGCUUUUGCGGGUGGCGGGGGGCGGGUGGGUAACGCGUGGAUAGGAUUCUUCUCUGACGUGGAUGACUUCGGGGAGCCGGUGAUGCUAAUGGCUAAUAUGUUGUACCGCUGGGUUCAGUGGUGCAUGGCGGCUUUCGUGUUUCUUUUAGAUGAUGUCGGGCCGGAUUAGCUAGUUGGUAAGGUAACGGCCUACCAAGGCGACGAUCCGGAGCCGAGCUGAGAGGGUGAUCAGCCACACUGGAACUGAGACACGGUCCAGACUCCUACGGGAGGCAGCAGUAGGGAAUCUUGCGCAAUGGGCGAAAGCCUGACCGAGCAACGCCGCGUGAGUGAGGAAGGCCUUCGGAUCGUAAAACUCUUUUGUCGGGGAAGAACAAAGGCAUAUUUAACCGCACACGUCCUGACGGUACCUAAACAAUAAGCCACGGCUAACUACGUG